This 484-nucleotide ribosomal RNA is filed under the name uncultured bacterium. RNAcentral describes it as "bacterial SSU rRNA". It matches the Rfam family "Bacterial small subunit ribosomal RNA", at positions 30 to 506 of the family's 1533-position model. The record is from RNAcentral.
UAUUGAACGCUGGCGGCAGGCCUAACACAUGCAAGUCGAGCGGAUGAGUGGAGCUUGCUCCAUGAUUCAGCGGCGGACGGGUGAGUAAUGCCUAGGAAUCUGCCUGGUAGUGGGGGACAACGUUUCGAAAGGAACGCUAAUACCGCAUACGUCCUACGGGAGAAAGUGGGGGAUCUUCGGACCUCACGCUAUCAGAUGAGCCUAGGUCGGAUUAGCUAGUUGGUGAGGUAAAGGCUCACCAAGGCGACGAUCCGUAACUGGUCUGAGAGGAUGAUCAGUCACACUGGAACUGAGACACGGUCCAGACUCCUACGGGAGGCAGCAGUGGGGAAUAUUGGACAAUGGGCGAAAGCCUGAUCCAGCCAUGCCGCGUGUGUGAAGAAGGUCUUCGGAUUGUAAAGCACUUUAAGUUGGGAGGAAGGGCAGUAAGUUAAUACCUUGCUGUUUUGACGUUACCAACAGAAUAAGCACCGGCUAACUUCGU